This 1110-nucleotide long non-coding RNA is filed under the name Salvia miltiorrhiza (redroot sage). Its description in RNAcentral is "long non-coding RNA (SMIL_LNC008787)". Lineage: Eukaryota; Viridiplantae; Streptophyta; Magnoliopsida; Lamiales; Lamiaceae. The record is from RNAcentral.
CUCUCUCUCUAUUCUCAAGAAAAAGAACGCUGCUCACAUCUCUCUCUCUCUCUCUCGCUCGAUUUUCUCCUCCGGCAGAGCAAUCGGCAGCCGCUGCUGCAAUUAGAUUCCGGCGAAGUCCAACAUCGCCGCCGCCGCUUGGGUCGACGGGAGCCGCUGGAGCUGCUGCUGCUCGCCCGGAGUCGACGGGCCUGACUCUUCACCUCGCCGUUGCUGCUUUACUCAUAUUCCGGCGAGGCAGCAAGGGCUCGUCGUCGUUCCCUCGGUUCGACUGAACAGGUACAUCAAUCUAGUCCCCUUCCAUUUUUCUUCUGUUCUAAGUUAACAUCUUAUAUCUGCGUGAAGUCUUGGUUCUACAUACUAUAUGUGCAAGGGAUUAAUGGCGUUGUGGGGUUGCUACUGUGUUAGCAUCUAAUUUUUAGAGUCCAGUAGGAAUCAUAAACGCAUAGGACAUUCUACAUAACAUGGGUAAAUCUGUAUUACUGAAACGUGACCUUGCUAAGUCCAUUAUGCAUAUAUAUCUCAAUUCUUUAUUCUGACUUUCUAAAACAUAAGCAUACUUGUUGGUGUGAAUCAUGUAGCAUGAACUAGAGUAAAAUGAGAUUAGCAAUCACCUUGUGUGUUUUGUGCUUGGUUGGCUGCUGUGCUAAUGAAUUCAGGAGUGAAUAAACUGAAACAUAAUUGUGGAUUUUGCUUAACCAUUGCAGGCUGAACUCAAGAAGAAAAUGGAGAAGUUUAAGUUGAGCUUACCUCUUGGGGUCCAGAUUGCAGCUGAAAUAAACUCUCUAUGAUUUUUGGUGCAUAAAGGAAGGAGGGGGAAUCGUAGUUGGUGAUUUUCAGGCUUCUAUGAAGCCCUCAAUUUAUAGGCAGAUUAGCCCGCAAAACUUGAAAAACUAUUUACAGCAAAAGUGGAAAUUUUGCUGCAACUUUUGACAAAAAUGAAAUUGGUUGGUGGCUGCCAUAUUUUUUUGACUAAUAGUGGAAUUCCAUGUGAGACUUUGAAAAGUGGAGUACUCAUCAUAGGGUGCGUCUGAUCCUAGUUGUAUCUUAGCAUGGCUUCAAAUAUUAAAUUGUGACUUUUGCAGGGAAAAGAGUAUGGCCUUAGCAGAG